RNAcentral lists this ribosomal RNA (708 nucleotides) under Triticum aestivum (bread wheat). Its description in RNAcentral is "partial small subunit ribosomal RNA". The record is from RNAcentral. Lineage: Eukaryota; Viridiplantae; Streptophyta; Magnoliopsida; Poales; Poaceae.
AUGUCUGAACCGCUGAAGCUCAUCGGCUCCUUCGGCAGCCCCGUGGUCCACCGCGCGGAGGUGGCCCUCCUUCUGAAGGGAGUCCCCUACGAGUUCAUCCAACAAGACCUCGCAAACAAAAGCGAGCUGCUGCUGAAGCACAACCCCGUCCACAAGAAGGUCCCCGUGCUCCUCCAUGGCGACCGGCCUGCGGUAUGCGAGUCGCUUGUCAUUAUUGAGUAUGUUGAUGAGGCCUUCGAUGGCCCGCCGCUCCUCCCCUCCGACCCCUUCGCCCGUGCCUCCGCUUGCUUCUGGGCUCGCUUCGUCAACGAGAAGUGCCGGAGGUCUGUAUGGAUGGCACUCUGGACGGACGGUCAAGUGCAAGCGUCAUCAGCGAGGGAGGCGGCAGAGAACCUAAAGCUUCUUGAGGGCCAGUUGCCGGAGGGGAAGAGGUUUUUCGGAGGUGAUACUAUUGGCUUCCUCGACAUAGCCAUGGGCGGGAUCGCGCAUUGGUUAGGAGUGUUUGAGGAGAUGGCCGGGGCAAGGCUGCUAACCGAGGAGGACCGCCCAUUGGACCGCCCAUUGUUGUGCAAGUGGGCGAGGGACUACAAGGCUGACGACAUUGUGAGGCAAUGCCUUCCAGAGAGGGGUCGUGUGCUUGCAGAGUUGACGGCGAGGAAGGAUCGGUAUGUGUCCAUAGCUAUGACGAUGGCCGCAAAGAACUCCUAG